RNAcentral lists this ribosomal RNA (449 nucleotides) under uncultured bacterium. Its description in RNAcentral is "partial 16S ribosomal RNA". It matches the Rfam family "Bacterial small subunit ribosomal RNA", at positions 29 to 523 of the family's 1533-position model. The record is from RNAcentral.
AACGAACGCUGGCGGCAUGCCUAAUACAUGCAAGUCGAACGAUCACUUCGGUGGUAGUGGCGCACGGGUGCGUAACGCGUGGGAAUCUGCCCUUGGGUUCGGAAUAACGUCGGGAAACUGACGCUAAUACCGGAUGAUGACGUAAGUCCAAAGAUUUAUCGCCCAGGGAUGAGCCCGCGUAGGAUUAGCUAGUUGGUGGGGUAAAGGCCUACCAAGGCGACGAUCCUUAGCUGGUCUGAGAGGAUGAUCAGCCACACUGAGACUGAGACACGGCACAGACUCCUACGGGAGGCAGCAGUAGGGAAUAUUGGACAAUGGGGGCAAACCUGAUCCAGCAAUGCCGCGUGAGUGAUGAAGGCCUUAGGGUUGUAAAGCUCUUUUACCCGGGAUGAUAAUGACAGUACCGGGAGAAUAAGCCCCGGCUAACUCCGUGCCAGCCGCCGCAGUAA